GGCCAGACUCCUACGGGAGGCAGCAGUGGGGAAUAUUGCACAAUGGGGGGAACCCUGAUGCAGCGACGCCGCGUGGGUGAAGGAGCACCUCGGUGCGUAAAGCCCUAUCGGCAGGGAAGAAACAGACGGUACCUGACUAAGAAGCCCCGGCUAACUACGUGCCAGCAGCCGCGGUAAUACGUAGGGGGCAAGCGUUAUCCGGAUUCACUGGGUGUAAAGGGGGCGCAGACGGCGAUGCAAGCCAGGAGUGAAAGCCCGGGGCCCAACCCCGGGACUGCUCUUGGAACUGCGUGGCCGGAGUGCAGGAGGGGCAGGCGGAAUUCCUGGUGUAGCGGUGAAAUGCGUAGAUAUCAGGAGGAACACCGGUGGCGAAGGCGGCCUGCUGGACUGCAACUGACGUUGAGGCCCGAAAGCGUGGGGAGCAAACAGGAUUAGAUACCCUUGUA
RNAcentral lists this ribosomal RNA (446 nucleotides) under uncultured bacterium. RNAcentral describes it as "bacterial SSU rRNA". It matches the Rfam family "Bacterial small subunit ribosomal RNA", at positions 329 to 792 of the family's 1533-position model. The record is from RNAcentral.